AUACGAAGGGGGCUAGCGUUGUUCGGAAUUAUUGGGCGUAAAGCGCGUGUAGGCGGUUUCUUAAGUCUGAUGUGAAAGCCCCGGGCUCAACCUGGGAAUGGCAGUGGAUACUGGCAAGCUAGAGUGUGUCAGAGGGUGGUGGAAUUCCCGGUGUAGCGGUGAAAUGCGUAGAGAUCGGGAGGAACAUCAGUGGCGAAGGCGGCCACCUGGGACAACACUGACGCUGAGGCACGAAAGCGUGGGGAGC
Molecule: ribosomal RNA, 247 nt
Filed under: uncultured bacterium
Lineage: Bacteria
Description: partial 16S ribosomal RNA
Rfam family: Bacterial small subunit ribosomal RNA
Source: RNAcentral